GAUGAACGCUGGCGGCGUGCCUAAUACAUGCGAGUAGAACGCUGAAGGAGGAGCUUGCUCUUCUGGAUGAGUUGCGAACGGGUGAGUAACGCGUAGGUAACCUGCCUGGUAGCGGGGGAUAACUAUUGGAAACGAUAGCUAAUACCGCAUGACAACAGUUAUUGCAUGAUAACUGUUUAAAAGGGGCAACUGCUCCACUACCAGAUGGACCUGCGUUGUAUUAGCUAGUUGGUGAGGUAACGGCUCACCAAGGCGACGAUACAUAGCCGACCUGAGAGGGUGAUCGGCCACACUGGGACUGAGACACGGCCCAGACUCCUACGGGAGGCAGCAGGAGGGAAUCUUCGGCAAUGGACGGAAGUCUGACCGAGCAACGCCGCGUGAGUGAAGAAGGUUUUCGGAUCGUAAAGCUCUGUUGUAAGAGAAGAACGAGUGUGAGAGUGGAAAGUUCACACUGUGACGGUAUCUUACCAGAAAGGGACGGCUAACUACGUG
This 495-nucleotide ribosomal RNA is filed under the name uncultured bacterium. RNAcentral's name for it is "partial 16S ribosomal RNA". It matches the Rfam family "Bacterial small subunit ribosomal RNA", at positions 28 to 507 of the family's 1533-position model. The record is from RNAcentral.